RNAcentral lists this transfer RNA (73 nucleotides) under Felis catus (domestic cat). It matches the Rfam family "tRNA". Rfam says of the family: Transfer RNA (tRNA) molecules are approximately 80 nucleotides in length. Their secondary structure includes four short double-helical elements and three loops (D, anti-codon, and T loops). RNAcentral also lists the same sequence under 3 other names. The record is from Rfam by way of RNAcentral. Lineage: Eukaryota; Metazoa; Chordata; Mammalia; Carnivora; Felidae.
ACCUGGCUGGCUCAGUUGGUGGAGUAUGUGACUCUUAAUCUCAGUAUUGUGAGUUUGAGCCUCACGUUGAAUU